GGCGCGGUGAUGACUCCAACAUGCCAUCUGAGCGCGGGUGCUGAGAUCAGAGGCUGUUUCUGAGCUG
Molecule: small nucleolar RNA, 67 nt
Organism: Saimiri boliviensis boliviensis (Bolivian squirrel monkey)
Lineage: Eukaryota; Metazoa; Chordata; Mammalia; Primates; Cebidae
Product: small nucleolar RNA SNORD95
Source: RefSeq, a predicted model, not a curated record